CCAUGCUGACUUUGCCCAGCCUGUGUCUGAGGUAUUCCACAUCACAUCUGAAGGAGUCAAAUCCAGCCAGAACCUGGGAAAACAAAGAAUAGUCCUGAUAUAUAUAAGGAAAACAAAUUGAAAAGAUCAACAAAUGAAUCAUCACCUUUGUAGUUUUGACACGUCAAGCUGGAGUUCUGUGAAGGUGUGGCUGUCACUGGCAUGUCUGCAAAGGAAGAACUACAUUGAUUCUGCACAUUGCACGUGGCAUCAUGAACAGUUACCACAGAAAAGAAUUCAAGAAACCAUCUACAUGGACCUCUUCACCUCAUGGAUCAGGCCCCGGUGACUUAGGUUGAAUUCCAAGUCCCAGACAGAAGUGUCCAGUUGAUGAAGCUGAGGUGAUGUGCUCACCUUACAGGGUGGGAAGAAGGGAUACCUGACAUUUCAAGUGUCCAUGACACAAGGUGAGCCCUGCUUUCCACUCAGACUCAUCCAAUGAUGGAUUCCACCUCCUCCCCAAGGAAGGGGUUCAUUUAUUGAGCAAACAAAAACAACAAAUGUCAACCAUAAUGGAGACAAAAAAAUAAAGAGAAAGAAGUCCUAGGUGGUCCUUGUACGUGUUCUACCCCAGUCUUCCCCUGUUGGUGAUAGAAUCUCGUUAUUUCUCUACCUUCACCCCCUAGAAUAAUAGUAUUAAAUAAAGACAUAUUGGAAAACACUU
Lutra lutra (Eurasian river otter) is the source of this 703-nucleotide long non-coding RNA. RefSeq lists it as uncharacterized. The record is from RefSeq and is a predicted model, not a curated record. The transcript is spliced from 3 exons. Lineage: Eukaryota; Metazoa; Chordata; Mammalia; Carnivora; Mustelidae.